AUGACGGUCCUAAGCUGGAACUACCGGGGUCUUGGGCAGCCCCGGACAGUUCAGGAACUUGUAUGCCUUGUGCAUACCUACAAGCCCAAGCUUGUGCUCCUCUCUGAAACUCGGCAAAGCACCUCGUAUGUUAAUAAGUUGAUAUGGAGGCUAGGCCUCAUAGACUAUAUUGCGCAGCCCGGCAUUGGCAAAAGUGCUGGUAUCACGCUCUUCUAUGACGAAAGUGUGGAAGUAAUAAAGCUUGCCGUUGGCCCGAGGUACAUCGACGUGUUAAUUCGUUUGAAUCCAAAUAAAAUGCAGUGGCGGGGUACUUUUGUCUACGGUGAACUGAAAGCUCAUCUAAGACAUAACAUGUGGGAGCUGAUGCGUAGAAUAAAACCCAACUCCAGCGCUCCCUGGAUGAUGAUAGGUGAUUUCAACGAGACAAUGUAG
RNAcentral lists this ribosomal RNA (432 nucleotides) under Triticum aestivum (bread wheat). RNAcentral's name for it is "partial small subunit ribosomal RNA". Lineage: Eukaryota; Viridiplantae; Streptophyta; Magnoliopsida; Poales; Poaceae. The record is from RNAcentral.